CCGGGGCUUCCGUCCUCACCAGAGUCCUUAGGAAGGCAACGUUGGCUCGGAGCAUAGGGGGAUCCUCCAAGCUGAGCACUAUUAAAAUUAUGGGGGCAGGACAGAAUCCGGCUCUGCUCAAGGGGUUUCAUUUCUCAAAUCUAUUGGAGCAAAAAUGAGCAAUGUGCCCUGCUGGUGUUUAGAUGUUCUGAAUCCCUCAGCUGAGUGUUGGGUUCCUGUGUUGUCCUGCCUGGUGCUUGCUGGAUGUGCUGGAACAAAGAGCUUGGGCCCUUGAUGAAAACGACCACAAAUUACUUCAUUGAGAUUUACUGGGCUCAGAGUAAAAGGGACGAAGCUCAGGUUUGAUCUAGAAAAUGCUUCUUCCCUGUCAGGAUGGUGAAGUCCUGGCUUCACAGAUUGCUCAGAGAAGCCAAGUAAAUAAAGUUUCAGAAUUCUUCA
Molecule: long non-coding RNA, 438 nt
Organism: Melospiza melodia melodia
Lineage: Eukaryota; Metazoa; Chordata; Aves; Passeriformes; Passerellidae
Exons: 2
Source: RefSeq, a predicted model, not a curated record